This 826-nucleotide ribosomal RNA is filed under the name uncultured Clostridia bacterium. Its description in RNAcentral is "bacterial SSU rRNA". It matches the Rfam family "Bacterial small subunit ribosomal RNA", at positions 59 to 897 of the family's 1533-position model. Lineage: Bacteria; Bacillati; Bacillota; Clostridia. The record is from RNAcentral.
UAGUAGACAGAAGCUUCGGUGGAAGAUUACUAAUGAGAGUGGCGAACGGGUGACGUAACGCGUGAGCAACCUGCCUAUGACAGUGGGAUAGCCUCGGGAAACCGGGAUUAAUACCGCAUAAAAUCGUAGAAACACAUGUUUUAACGGUCAAAGAUUUAUCGGUCAUAGAUGGGCUCGCGUCUGAUUAGCUAGUUGGUGAGAUAACAGCUCACCAAGGCGACGAUCAGUAGCCGGUCUGAGAGGAUGAACGGCCACCAUUGGAACUGAGACACGGUCCAAACUCCUACGGGAGGCAGCAGUGGGGAAUAUUGCACAAUGGGGGAAACCCUGAUGCAGCGACGCCGCGUGAACGAAGAAGGUAUUCGUAUCGUAAAGUUCUGUCCUAUGGGAAGAUAAUGACAGUACCAUAGAAGAAAGCUCCGGCUAAAUACGUGCCAGCAGCCGCGGUAAUACGUAUGGAGCGAGCGUUGUCCGGAAUUAUUGGGCGUAAAGGGUACGCAGGCGGUUUAAUAAGUCGAAUGUUCGAAGAUCGGGGCUCAACCCCGUAAAGCAUUGGAAACUGAUAAACUUGAGUAGUGGAGAGGAAAGUGGAAUUCCUAGUGUAGUGGUGAAAUACGUAGAUAUUAGGAGGAAUACCAGUAGCGAAGGCGACUUUCUGGUCUGUAACUGACGCUGAUGUGCGAAAGCGUGGGGAUCAAACAGGAUUAGAUACCCUGGUAGUCCACGCCGUAAACGAUGAGUGCUAAGUGUUAGGGGGUUUCCGCCCCUUAGUGCUGCAGCUAACGCAUUAAGCACUCCGCCUGGGGAGUACGACCGUCAAGGUUGA